RNAcentral lists this ribosomal RNA (449 nucleotides) under uncultured bacterium. RNAcentral's name for it is "bacterial SSU rRNA". It matches the Rfam family "Bacterial small subunit ribosomal RNA", at positions 328 to 793 of the family's 1533-position model. The record is from RNAcentral.
UCACCAGACUCCUACGGGAGGCAGCAGUGGGGGAUAUUGCACAAUGGGGGAAACCCUGAUGCAGCGACGCCGCGUGUGGGAAGACGGUCCUCUGGAUUGUAAACCACUGUCCCCAGGGACGAAGAUGACGGUACCUGAGUAAGAAGCCCCGGCUAACUACGUGCCAGCAGCCGCGGUAAUACGUAGGGGGCAAGCGUUAUCCGGAUUUACUGGGUGUAAAGGGAGCGUAGACGGCAUGGCAAGCCAGAUGUGAAAUACCGGGGCUCAACCCCGGGACUGCAUUUGGAACUGUUAAGCUGGAGUGUCGGAGAGGCAGGCGGAAUUCCUAGUGUAGCGGUGAAAUGCGUAGAUAUUAGGAGGAACACCAGUGGCGAAGGCGGCCUGCUGGACGAUAACUGACGUUGAGGCUCGAAAGCGUGGGGAGCAAACAGGAUUAGAUACCCUCGUAG